Molecule: ribosomal RNA, 253 nt
Filed under: uncultured bacterium
Lineage: Bacteria
Description: partial 16S ribosomal RNA
Rfam family: Bacterial small subunit ribosomal RNA
Source: RNAcentral
UACAGAGGGUGCAAGCGUUAAUCGGAAUUACUGGGCGUAAAGGGCGCGUAGGUGGUUAUGUAAGUGAGAUGUGAAAUCCCUGGGCUCAACCUGGGAACUGCAUCUUAUACUGCGUAGCUGGAGUACAUGAGAGGGUAGUGGAAUUUCCGGUGUAGCGGUGAAAUGCGUAGAUAUCGGAAGGAACACCUGUGGCGAAAGCGGCUCACUGGACCAUUACUGACGCUGAUGCACGAAAGCUAGGGGAGCAAACAGG